Molecule: transfer RNA, 57 nt
Filed under: Taenia laticollis
Lineage: Eukaryota; Metazoa; Platyhelminthes; Cestoda; Cyclophyllidea; Taeniidae
Description: tRNA-Arg
Source: RNAcentral
GACAUAUGUAAGACUUAUGCUACGGCCAUAAGGUUGGUAUGAUAUUACCGUAUGUUU